Molecule: transfer RNA, 58 nt
Filed under: Ictidomys tridecemlineatus (thirteen-lined ground squirrel)
Lineage: Eukaryota; Metazoa; Chordata; Mammalia; Rodentia; Sciuridae
Also listed under: 1 other name
Description: Spermophilus tridecemlineatus (thirteen-lined ground squirrel) tRNA
Rfam family: tRNA
About the family: Transfer RNA (tRNA) molecules are approximately 80 nucleotides in length. Their secondary structure includes four short double-helical elements and three loops (D, anti-codon, and T loops).
Source: Rfam by way of RNAcentral
UAGCUCAGUUGGUAGAGUGCUUGCCUUAUAUGCACAAGGCCCUGGGUUCAAUCCCCAG